AACGCACAUUGCGCCCCUCGGUACUCCGGGGGGCAUGCCUGUCCGAGCGUCAUUGAAGACUAUCAAGCCUGGCUUGGUCUUGGGCGAGGUCUAGGGACCCGUCCACAACCCGUCGGCGGUGUCGGUUCGGCCCUGAGCGUAGCAGAAUACUCGCUCGAGGAUCGUAGCGGCGCUCACCAGCACAUUCUACCCAUAGUUUGACCUCGGAUCAGGUAGGGAUACCCGCUGAACUUAA
This 235-nucleotide unclassified non-coding RNA is filed under the name uncultured fungus. RNAcentral describes it as "partial contains 5.8S ribosomal RNA, internal transcribed spacer 2, and large subunit ribosomal RNA". The stretch from base 1 to 52 matches the Rfam family "5.8S ribosomal RNA", at positions 103 to 154 of the family's 154-position model. The record is from RNAcentral. Lineage: Eukaryota; Fungi.